CCUACGGGUGGCAGCAGUGAGGAAUAUUGGUCAAUGGACGCAAGUCUGAACCAGCCAUGCCGCGUGCAGGAAGACGGCUCUAUGAGUUGUAAACUGCUUUUGUACAAGGGUAAACGCAGACACGCGUACCUGUCUGAAUGUAUUUUAAGAAUAAGGAUCGGCUAACUCCGUGCCAGCAGCCGCGGUAAUACGGAGGAUCCAAGCGUUAUCCGGAUUUAUUGGGUUUAAAGGGUGCGUAGGCGGUCGGUUAAGUUAGAGGUGAAAUCUUGAGGCUCAACUUCGAAAUUGCCAUUGAUACUGGCAGGCUUGAGUAUAGUUGCGGUAGGCGGAA
Molecule: ribosomal RNA, 331 nt
Filed under: uncultured bacterium
Lineage: Bacteria
Description: partial 16S ribosomal RNA
Rfam family: Bacterial small subunit ribosomal RNA
Source: RNAcentral